GGGCCGGCUCUAGCUCAGCGGUUACUUCUUGACUUACAGCGCCAGCCCCUCCGGGGGUUCGAGACCCGCGGGCGCUAAUCGGCCUUUUG
This 89-nucleotide vault RNA is filed under the name Chelonia mydas (Green sea turtle). It matches the Rfam family "Vault RNA". Rfam says of the family: This family of RNAs are found as part of the enigmatic vault ribonucleoprotein complex. The complex consists of a major vault protein (MVP), two minor vault proteins (VPARP and TEP1), and several small untranslated RNA molecules. It has been suggested that the vault complex is involved in drug resistance. The record is from Rfam by way of RNAcentral. Lineage: Eukaryota; Metazoa; Chordata; Testudines; Cheloniidae.